AGUGAACGCUGGCGGCGUGCCUAAUACAUGCAAGUCGAACGGAGAUUCAGUAGCUUGCUAUUUAAUCUUAGUGGCGCACGGGUGAGUAAUAUAUAGCUAACUUGCCCAUUACUCAGGGACAACAGUUGGAAACGACUGCUAAUACCUUAUACUCCGUAUCUAUAUAAGUAGAUACGGGAAAGUUUUUCGGUAAUGGAUAGGGCUAUAUCGUAUCAGCUAGUUGGUAAGGUAAUGGCUUACCAAGGCUAUGACGCGUAACUGGUCUGAGAGGAUGAUCAGUCACACUGGAACUGAGACACGGUCCAGACUCCUACGGGAGGCAGCAGUAGGGAAUAUUGCUCAAUGAGGGAAACCCGGAAGCAGCAACGCCGCGUGGAGGAUGACACUUUUCGGAGCGUAAACUCCUUUUCUUGGGAAAGAAUUAUGACGGUACCCAAGGAAUAAGCACCGGCUAACUCCGUG
This 462-nucleotide ribosomal RNA is filed under the name uncultured bacterium. RNAcentral's name for it is "partial 16S ribosomal RNA". It matches the Rfam family "Bacterial small subunit ribosomal RNA", at positions 29 to 507 of the family's 1533-position model. The record is from RNAcentral.